RNAcentral lists this transfer RNA (69 nucleotides) under Bavayia robusta. Its description in RNAcentral is "tRNA-Ala". The record is from RNAcentral. Lineage: Eukaryota; Metazoa; Chordata; Lepidosauria; Squamata; Diplodactylidae.
GAGGUCUUAGCUUAGUUAAAAUUUUUGAGUUGCAUCCAGGAGAUGUAUAUUAGAAUUAUGCAGGCUUUC